GACGAACGCUGGCGGCGUGCCUAACACAUGCAAGUCGAGCGGAGAUGAUGUGAGGAAGUUUUCGGAUGGAAUCACAUUAUUUUAGCGGCGGACGGGUGAGUAACGCGUGAGCGACCAACCUUGCACAGGGGGAUAACGGACCGAAAGGUUCACUAAUACCGCAUGAGACCACGGUGUUGCAUGACACAGGGGUCAAAGGAGGAAUCCGGUGCAAGACGGGCUCGCGUCCGAUUAGGUAGUUGGAGGGGUAACGGCCCACCAAGCCUAUGAUCGGUAGCCGACCUGAGAGGGUGAUCGGCCACAUUGGAACUGAGAUACGGUCCAAACGUCCUACGGGAGGCAGCAGUGGGGAAUAUUGGGCAAUGGGGGAAACCCUGACCCAGCAACGCCGCGUGAAGGAAGAAGGUUUUCGGAUUGUAAACUUCUGUCCUUGGUGAAGAGAAGAAGACGGUAGCCAAGGAGGAAGCCCCGGCUAACUACGUGCCAGCAGCCGCGGUAAGAGUACUCUAU
RNAcentral lists this ribosomal RNA (510 nucleotides) under uncultured bacterium. Its description in RNAcentral is "bacterial SSU rRNA". It matches the Rfam family "Bacterial small subunit ribosomal RNA", at positions 28 to 531 of the family's 1533-position model. The record is from RNAcentral.